GAAUAUCAUCCCUGCCCACCACCACCGGCAUCACCAUCACCACCUCCUUAGCUAACCAGAGCCCAUUGACACACAAGGAAAGGUUGAGCAAUGAAGACAUGGAUUACGACCAUUGCUCAAAGCUGUCUCCCAUCUCCUCUCCAGUUCCCAAGCUUGGAGCCCAUCACAAGCUGCUAGCCUUGGACUGGACCGUGCCCGAAUCGUAAAAAAGUUAUCCUUUCCACCCCGGCAGAAACAACGCCGCCACCGCUCUUUCUCCUUCUCCCCUCUUUAAGUUUUCAUCAGGCAAAAAUUGAAGCCCAAGUCACAAUAUAUUUACCUCUAUAAAUAAAAAUAAAACGCUCAUCAUCCCAUCAAAAAACAUAAGAGAAGCCGACGCGUAAAAAAAAAAAUGUGGGGAAAAUAACAUCUAUUUUUUUUUGAUAGCAGAGGGCCGACCCCCCCGAUCUCACCCUUCCCCGAGCUCGCCUUUCCAACCGUCACUCCCAAUUCCUCCAAAUCUGUGUAUAUAUUAGGGUUUCUUCGUUCCUCCCGUUCUUUCUUUCUUCGUCCAUCGACGAUUCCGAGGAAUUCUGGGGUUUCUGCGUCUCAAUCGAAUUCUGGGGUGUCUCCGCGGAAUUUAGGGCUCCUCGUCGCCGGCGGAAUGAUCAUAAAGCGGAGUCAGAGGGCGCAAAUGCCGAAGCUGAAGAGGUGCAAUGCAGAGGGCGCCGCCCCCGGCGAGGACGACGGGGAGAGGCGGCGGAAGAGGCGGCGGGAGGACGGGUUCUUUCCGCUGGAGGUGCUCGGGAUCGUCUCCGCCGCCGGAUUCCCGGCAUUCCCCUUCGGAUUCCGGCGACCGGGCGGGGACGCGCGAGAGGAGAUGAGCAGCGCGGCCGUGGCGUCUUCUUGGUGCACCGAGGUCUCGUACUGCUCCGGUGAGGUGGAGUCGGAGUCGAGAGAGAGAAGGCAGGAAGAGAGGGAUCGGCUGCACGAGGUGGUGGCGCCACCGCGGGCCCGACCGCCGGUCGUUCGGACGUCCCGAGGGCGCGUUCAGGUGCUCCCUUCCAGGUUUAACGAUUCCGUCCUUAUUGACCCGUGGAAGAAGGAGAAGCCCAAGGCGAAAGCGCUCGACCCCGAUUUUGAGAUCAAGACUGACCUGAUGGAACCUAGGAAACAAGGUUUCAUCCAUAAAGAUUCCAACUUCAGCUCAGUUUUCCCCAAUUCAAUCACAUUGUUCGACAACGAAGAACGCCAUUGGACGUGCAGAAAUUUAAAAUUCAAGAAAAAUUCUUCUUCUCGAAGUACUCUGACGUCUCUUCAUGAGAGUUUUGCGGGAGCUGAGAAGUGGUUGCCGCCGGUGGUUGAUGUGGAGUUUCCACUGGUUUAUGAUUCUGAUCCAAUGACGGUGGAAACAAGGAUGCUGAAGGAGAAUGUAGAACAGAGGAAGGAUUUCUAUCGGCCAGAGGAGUUUGUUCUGGGUAAUAUCGUUUGGGCUAAGUUAGGGAAGAAGUAUCCUGCUUGGCCAGCGAUCGUGGUCAAUCCAAUGCAGGAAGCUCCGGAGGCAGUUCUGCAAUCCUCCAUUCCUGGGGCCAUCUGUGUGAUGUUCUUUGGGUACUCCGGAAAUGGAAACCAUAGGGAGUAUGCAUGGGUGAAGGAGGGGAUGAUCUUUCCGUUUUUAGACUACGUAGACAGGUUUCAGGGACAGACAGAGUUGCAUAAGAGCAAGCCUAGCGAUUUUCGGUUGGCUAUGGAGGAGGCCUUCUUAGCUGAGCAUGGUUUCUUAGGAGUGCAAGUGGGUUGCAAUGAUACGGCUGAGCAGCCUGCAUAUCAUCAGUCCUGUCCUAGAGGGAUCCAAGAGGCCACUGAUUCGAACCAUGAUCAGGAGUGCCAAUCAGAGAUCCAGGCUGUAAACAAAUCAGGAAGGCAUUGUGAGAGUUGUGGAUUGAUCCUUCCAGUCAAAAGUGCAAAGAAAAUGAAGCAGAAAUCUGAACGACUAGUGUGCAGAUAUUGUGCUAAGCGUUUGAGUUCAAAACAAUAUUGUGGAAUAUGCAAGAAGAUUUGGCAUCAUGAAGAUGGUGGGAAAUGGGAUAUGGAAGACUCUCAUUAUUUUUGCCCUGACUGCAAGGCAAAGUUAAAUUUUGAAUCAUCAGAAACGGAGAAGAAGCACUCAGAAUCUAGUUGGCCAGACACAAGAUCCAAUAAAAUUACUGUUUGUUGUUUUGGGAUGGAAGGGGCUUACCUACCAGAGCAACACGUAAUCUCAUGUCAAUGUGACUCUUGCAAGGGGCAGAAAAAGUUCAUGCUUACUGAAUGGGAGCGACAUACUGGUUCUAAAACUAAAAACUGGAGGUCUAGUGUUAAAGUCAAGAGCGCGAUGUCACCACUGGGAAAAUGGGUAGGACGUUAUCAGGCUACUAUGGUUUCUGCACACCAUGCUAAACGCCCAUCUCCAAAAGUAAGGAAACAAAAGAUACUUGCUUCCUUGCACGAAGCAUAUGACCCAGUGUAUGUCAGAUGGACAACAGAACGAUGCGCAAUCUGCAGAUGGGUUGAGGACUGGGAUUACAAUAAAAUUAUUAUCUGUAACAGAUGUCAAAUAGCAGUUCACCAGGAAUGCUAUGGAGUGAGAGGCAAACAAGAUUUCACAUCUUGGGUUUGCCGAGCUUGUGAAACCCCAGAGCAAAAGCGGGAAUGCUGCCUUUGUCCUGUAAAAGGUGGUGCUUUAAAGCCAACGGACAUUGAUGCAUUAUGGGUCCAUGUCACGUGUGCCUGGUUUCAGCCUCAAGUUUCUUUUGCAAGUGAUGAAAUAAUGGAGCCUGCUGUUGGCAUAUUGAACAUUCCAUCCGAGUAUUUUGUGAAGGUUUGUGUCAUAUGCAUGCAAAUGCAUGGUUCUUGCACACAAUGCUUUAGAUGUUCCACUUAUUAUCAUGCCAUGUGUGCAUCAAGAGCGGGAUACCGCAUGGAGUUGCACUGCCUAGCGAGAAAUGGGAAACAGAUAACAAAAAUGAUCUCAUAUUGCGCGAAUCACCGGGCUCCAAACCCAGAUACUGUUUUAAUCAUACAGACCCCGGUAGGGGUAUUCUCUUCCAAAAAGUUGCUCCAGACUAACGAAAAGCAGAGAGGGUCAAGGCUGAUUAGGAAAGACAUCCCCAAAGUUCCAACCUUACCUUCUCAAUAUUCUGAAAUCUCAUCUGCAGCAAGGUGUCUGAUCUAUAAAAGAAUAGAAACUAAGAGAAAACAAGAAGAGGCCAUUGCCCACAGAGUGAUGGGGCCUAUUCAUCAUACUCUGGAUGAAAUUAGAUGCUAUAAUACACCUAGGGAUGAGAAGGAUCCUGAAUCAUUUUCUACGUUCAGGGAGCGUCUUAAAUAUUUGCAAAUGACUGAGAAUAGCAGAGUUUGUUUUGGUAGAUCUGGAAUACAUGGAUGGGGCCUUUUUGCACGUAGGAACAUUCAAGAAGGAGAAAUGGUCAUUGAAUACCGUGGGGAGCAGGUCAGAUGCAGCGUUGCGGAUUUGAGGGAAACACGUUAUCGGUUGGAAGGAAAAGAUUGCUAUCUUUUUAAAAUCAGUGAAGAAGUAGUGGUCGAUGCUACAGAUAAAGGGAAUAUAGCACGUUUAAUCAAUCAUUCUUGCAUGCCCAAUUGCUAUGCAAGAAUUAUGAGCGUGGGUGAUGAUGAGAGCAGGAUUGUUUUAGUAGCUAAGACAAAUGUUUCUGCUGGAGAUGAAUUGACGUAUGACUACUUGUUUGACCCUGAUGAAGGUGAUGAAUAUAAAGUUCCCUGUCUCUGCAAAGCUCCAAACUGUCGGAAAUUUAUGAACUAGGUAUCCGUACGCGCCCAUUUGUUCCUUCGCACGAAGCUGUUAAGUGGUCUGCAUAUGAACUUGCCUCAUGGAUGAUGGAGAGUUCCAACAUCUGCUUUAUUUUGUUCUCCAUGAGACUGUUGUUGUUUCUUGGAGGCAGAAUUGAUGUUGAUGUCUGCUUACCAUUGUUGCAAGUGUGUUGAUGGCCAUAUAUCCACCUUUUUUCUUGGUUGGUGGGGGGAUGUUUCAUGACUACUACAGACAAGAAUUAUAUGUAUGUCAACUUAUCGAUGCUCGUGGGGGGGGGGGGAAAAAAUGCUUCGAGGCCAAAGCCUUGGUUCCCGAGAAAAGCUCCGACUGAUAAGGUGUCGUGCAGGGACCGGAGCUUCACCCCACACGAACUCUAUGAAUGGGUUGCCGCUAUUGGAGUACUGCUAUACCCCCAACCGUGCACUGAUGUGAACGCUCGCCCGACCAUCGUCUCUCCUUUCUCACGUUUUCAACUCCGUCAAUUCUCCGAUCGACAAAGCCACCAUUCCAAAUGAAGCAGCGACGGAGUUCAGAUCCGGAGGUAGGCAAGAAGACAGGAGGCCGGUCUUGCCGCUGAGCUCUGAUGGUAGAGAGGAGAUAUUGGAGGGGGGGAAAGAGAGGAGAGGUCCGAGCCCGAGCUGGUGUUGAGCUCGAGAGAGAGGAGCGGUAUCGCGUGGGACGGUGGAAUCGCCGGUGAAGACGCCGCGGGAGGAAAGAACGAAGACAAAAAGAUUUGUAAGGUACCGCAAAUGGGCGUGGUAUGUUCUCCUUGUCUUGCAUAACAUCACAGCUGAUACCAAUGCUAAAUGCAAAAACAGUAACGAAGAAAAUAUUGUUCUAUAUUGACUAUUUAAUGAUAGCCAAAUUUGGGUACUUUCAAAA
This is an RNA transcript of Phoenix dactylifera (date palm), 4690 nucleotides long. It is a transcript of the gene named histone-lysine N-methyltransferase ATX4, with no coding region annotated. The record is from RefSeq and is a predicted model, not a curated record. NCBI's taxonomy places the organism in Eukaryota, Viridiplantae, Streptophyta, Magnoliopsida, Arecales, Arecaceae.